AUGGACAUACCUCUGGUGUACCAGUUGUUCUGCCAAGAGCACCGCUGGGUAGCUACGUAUGGAUUAGAUAAUCGCUGAAAGCAUCUAAGUGAGAAACUAACCUCGAGAUGAGAUUUCCCAUUCGUCAGAAGUAAGACCCCUGAGAGACGAUCAGGUAGAUAGGCUAGAAGUGGAAGUGUAGUGAUGCAUGGAGCGGACUAGUACUAAUAGGUCGAGGACUUAACCAAG
This 228-nucleotide ribosomal RNA is filed under the name Oenococcus oeni. Its description in RNAcentral is "partial 23S ribosomal RNA". It matches the Rfam family "Bacterial large subunit ribosomal RNA", at positions 2697 to 2925 of the family's 2925-position model. Lineage: Bacteria; Bacillati; Bacillota; Bacilli; Lactobacillales; Lactobacillaceae. The record is from RNAcentral.